GAUGAACGCUAGCGGCAGGCCUAACACAUGCAAGUCGAGGGGCAGCACAGAAACAGCAAUGUUUUGGUGGCGACCGGCGGACGGGUGCGUAACGCGUAUGCAACCUACCUUUAACAGGGGGAUAACGGAGAGAAAUUUCCACUAAUACCCCAUAACAUUGACCAAGGCAUCUUGAUUGGUUGAAGACUCCGGUGGUUAAAGAUGGGCAUGCGUUGUAUUAGGUAGUUGGUGAGGUAAUGGCUCACCAAGCCUACGAUACAUAGGGGGACUGAGAGGUUAGCCCCCCACACUGGUACUGAGACACGGACCAGACUCCUACGGGAGGCAGCAGUGAGGAAUAUUGGUCAAUGGGGGCAACCCUGAACCGGCCAUGCCGCGUGCAGGAAGACGGCUCUAUGAGUUGUAAACUGCUUUUAAACAGGGAUAAAGCACAGUAUGUAUACUGUGUUGAAGGUACUGUAAGAAUAAGGAUCGGCUAACUCCGUGCCAGCCGCCGCAGUAA
Molecule: ribosomal RNA, 502 nt
Filed under: uncultured bacterium
Lineage: Bacteria
Description: partial 16S ribosomal RNA
Rfam family: Bacterial small subunit ribosomal RNA
Source: RNAcentral